AUGGCGUCGGAGAUGAGCAAGGACGUGAAGUUCUCCGAGGAAGAAGUCACCUCGCACCCGCGUGUUCUCGGAGGUGAGGAUCAGACGGUUGUGCCGGCACGACAGUCUUCCAUCUUCGCGCUGACGUCGGACGAGCUGCAAUACUCGGUGUGCGAGGCAGGGCGCAACUUUGGGUCCAUGAACAUGGAUGAGUUCAUGAGCAACAUCUGGAAUGCCAAGGAGUUCCAAGCAGCGACCAGUGGUGUCUUGGUGGGCAUGGAGGUGGAUCCUGUGGUGGGUGCUGGUAGAGGCGGAGGUGGCGAAGAUGCAAGAGGAACCAACCUAGCCUGGCAGGAGUCAUUCUCCUUGCCUCCCCAGCUGUGCCAGGAGACGGUGGAGGAGGUGUGGACUGAGAUCAACAGGGAGCCCCGCCCGGUGCAUUCCCGGCCCCAGUCCGCGCGGCCUUCGCCGCAGAUUCCCGUCCAGCCACUGGCGGGAAAUGGUGGUGCGGUUGCGGCGAACGACCAGUGGGGGACGCUUGGACAGAUGACACUAGAGCAGUUCCUUGUCAAGAUCGGUGUGGUCCGGGGAUCUGGCACCGGCGGCCAGGCGACUGUGCCGGUCGGCAUGGUCCAUGGACAGAUGAACCUUGUGCAGCAGGGGCAACAGCCUAGCCCAGUGAUGUACCCGAUGGCACCGGCAAACGGCAUGUUCCAUGUGAUGGGCAACGGCAUGGGGUUCGUCCCCAACGGGUACGCAGGGAUCGUCGUGGUGCCGCCGCCACCACCUCCUCAAGGUGGGCUGGGUAUCGUGAGCCCAGGGUCGUCGGACGGGAGGAGCGCCAUGACGCAGGUUGACAUGAUGAACUCCAUGGGCGACGGAGCGAUGAUGGAGAACGGCAGCGCCCGGAAGCGCGCCGCUCCGGAGGAUCAGUCCUGUGAGAGGAGCAUCGAGCGCUGCCACCACCGCAUGAUAAAGAACCGUGAGUCAGCCGGACAAUCGCGUGCUAGGAAGCAGGCUUAUACCGUGGAGCUUGAAGCCGAACUGAACCACCUCAAGGAGGAGAACGCUCAUCUGAAAGCUAAGGAGAAGACGAUUUUGCUGACCAAGAAACAAAUGCUGGUGGAGAAGAUGAUGGAGCGGUCCAAGGAGAAUAUGAACGCCAAGAAGGGUGGUGCCCUGUCGCGGCGCUGCGGCAGCUGCAUCUGGUGA
This 1191-nucleotide ribosomal RNA is filed under the name Triticum aestivum (bread wheat). Its description in RNAcentral is "partial small subunit ribosomal RNA". The record is from RNAcentral. Lineage: Eukaryota; Viridiplantae; Streptophyta; Magnoliopsida; Poales; Poaceae.